AGGGUUCGAUUCUGGCUCAGGAUGAACGCUGGCGGCGUGCUUAACACAUGCAAGUCGAACGAACCUUAGGGUUAGUGGCGGACGGGUGAGUAACGCGUGGGAAUCUGCCCUCAGGAGGGGGAUAACGGCUGGAAACGGCCGCUAAUACCCCAUAUGCCGAGAGGUGAAAUGAAUUUCGCCUGAGGAUGAGCCCGCGUCUGAUUAGCUUGUUGGUGAGGUAAUGGCUCACCAAGGCUUCGAUCAGUAGCUGGUCUGAGAGGAUGAUCAGCCACACUGGGACUGAGACACGGCCCAGACUCCUACGGGAGGCAGCAGUGGGGAAUUUUCCGCAAUGGGCGAAAGCCUGACGGAGCAACGCCGCGUGAGGGAUGAAGGCCUCUGGGCUGUAAACCUCUUUUCUCAAGGAAGAAGAUCUGACGGUACUUGAGGAAUAAGCCACGGCUAAUUCCGUGCCAGCAGCCGCGGUAAUACGGGAGUGGCAAGCGUUAUCCGGAAUUAUUGGGCGUAAAGCGUCCGCAGGCGGCCUUUCAAGUCUGCUGUUAAAGCGUGGAGCUUAACUCCAUCAAGGCAGUGGAAACUGUUGGGCUUGAGUGUGGUAGGGGCAGAGGGAAUUCCCGGUGUAGCGGUGAAAUGCGUAGAUAUCGGGAAGAACACCAGUGGCGAAGGCGCUCUGCUGGGCCAUAACUGACGCUCAUGGACGAAAGCCAGGGGAGCGAAAGGGAUUAGAUACCCCUGUAGUCCUGGCCGUAAACGAUGAACACUAGGUGUCGGGGGAAUCGACCCCUUCGGUGUCGUAGCCAACGCGUUAAGUGUUCCGCCUGGGGAGUACGCACGCAAGUGUGAAACUCAAAGGAAUUGACGGGGGCCCGCACAAGCGGUGGAGUAUGUGGUUUAAUUCGAUGCAACGCGAAGAACCUUACCAGGGUUUGACAUCCUGCGAACCUCUAAGAAAUUGGAGGGUGCCUUCGGGAACGCAGUGACAGGUGGUGCAUGGCUGUCGUCAGCUCGUGUCGUGAGAUGUUGGGUUAAGUCCCGCAACGAGCGCAACCCACGUUUUUAGUUGCCAGCAUUCAGUUGGGCACUCUAGAGAGACCGCCGGUGAUAAACCGGAGGAAGGUGUGGAUGACGUCAAGUCAUCAUGCCCCUUACAUCCUGGGCUACACACGUACUACAAUGCUACGGACAAAGGGCAGCGAACUCGCGAGGGCAAGCAAAUCCCAUAAACCGUGGCUCAGUUCAGAUCGUAGGCUGCAACUCGCCUACGUGAAGGAGGAAUCGCUAGUAAUCGCAGGUCAGCAUACUGCGGUGAAUACGUUCCCGGGCCUUGUACACACCGCCCGUCACACCAUGGAAGUCGGCCACGCCCGAAGUCGUUACUCCAACCCUUGUGGAGGAGGACGCCGAAGGUGGGGCUGAUGACUGGGGUGAAGUCGUAACAAGGUAACC
Molecule: ribosomal RNA, 1446 nt
Filed under: uncultured marine microorganism
Description: bacterial SSU rRNA
Rfam family: Bacterial small subunit ribosomal RNA
Source: RNAcentral